CAGAGUUGAUCCUGGCUCAGGAUGAACGCUAGCUACAGGCUUAACACAUGCAAGUCGAGGGGAACGACAUCGAAAGCUUGCUUUUGAUGGACGUCGACCGGCGCACGGGUGAGUAACGCGUAUCCAACCUGCCCAUCACUUGGGGAUAACCUUGCGAAAGUAAGACUAAUACCCAAUGACGUCUCUAGAAGACAUCUGAAAGAGAUUAAAGAUUUAUCGGUGAUGGAUGGGGAUGCGUCUGAUUAGCUUGUUGGCGGGGUAACGGCCACCAAGGCGACGAUCAGUAGGGGUUCUGAGAGGAAGGUCCCCCANAUUGGAACUGAGACACGGUCCAAACUCCUACGGGAGGCA
RNAcentral lists this ribosomal RNA (351 nucleotides) under uncultured bacterium. Its description in RNAcentral is "bacterial SSU rRNA". It matches the Rfam family "Bacterial small subunit ribosomal RNA", at positions 8 to 350 of the family's 1533-position model. The record is from RNAcentral.